GCAACAUCUGUCUCCCUCACCAUUUGCCAGCACCACAGCCCAUGGCCACAGCCUGGAGGCAUUCACCUCGAAUUUCACCAUCAAUAACCUGAUCUACACUGCAGAAAUGGAGCACCCAGACUCCAGUGCAUUCACUACCACUGACAGGAUCCUACGGCAUCUGCUUGGCCACUUAUUCCAGAACAGCAGCAUUGGCCCCUCCUAUUCUGGAUGCAAGCUGAUGUUCCCGAGG
RNAcentral lists this long non-coding RNA (232 nucleotides) under Phascolarctos cinereus (koala). RNAcentral's name for it is "lncRNA (ENSPCIG00000033697.1)". The record is from RNAcentral. Lineage: Eukaryota; Metazoa; Chordata; Mammalia; Diprotodontia; Phascolarctidae.